GACGAACGCUGGCGGCGUGCCUAAUACAUGCAAGUUGAGCGCUGAAGGUUGGUACUUGUACCAACUGGAUGAGCAGCGAACGGGUGAGUAACGCGUGGGGAAUCUGCCUUUGAGCGGGGGACAACAUUUGGAAACGAAUGCUAAUACCGCAUAAAAACUUUAAACACAAGUUUUAAGUUUGAAAGAUGCAAUUGCAUCACUCAAAGAUGAUCCCGCGUUGUAUUAGCUAGUUGGUGAGGUAAAGGCUCACCAAGGCGAAGGAACAUAGCCGACCUGAGAGGGGUAUCCGCCACAUUUGGACCGGGACACGGGCCAAGAUCCUACGGGGGGGCGCAGUAGGGAAUCUUUGGCAAUUGAGGAAAAGCUGGCCGGGCAAAGGCGCGGGAGUGGAGAAGGUUUUCCGAUCGUAAAACUUCGGUGGUAGAGAAGAACGUUAGUGGGAGUGGAAAGCGCAUCAAGUGACGGUAACUAACCAGAAAGGGACGGCUAACUACGUG
RNAcentral lists this ribosomal RNA (497 nucleotides) under uncultured bacterium. RNAcentral describes it as "partial 16S ribosomal RNA". It matches the Rfam family "Bacterial small subunit ribosomal RNA", at positions 28 to 507 of the family's 1533-position model. The record is from RNAcentral.